This 342-nucleotide ribosomal RNA is filed under the name uncultured bacterium. RNAcentral describes it as "bacterial SSU rRNA". It matches the Rfam family "Bacterial small subunit ribosomal RNA", at positions 8 to 352 of the family's 1533-position model. The record is from RNAcentral.
AGAGUUUGAUCAUGGCUCAGGAUGAACGCUAGCGGGAGGCCUAACACAUGCAAGCCGAGCGGUAUUGUUUCUUCGGAAAUGAGAGAGCGGCGUACGGGUGCGGAACACGUGUGCAACCUGCCUUUAUCUGGGGGAUAGCCUUUCGAAAGGAAGAUUAAUACUCCAUAACAUAUUGAUUGGCAUCAAUUAAUAUUGAAAGCUCCGGCGGAUAGAGAUGGGCACGCGCAAGAUUAGCUAGUUGGUGAGGUAACGGCUCACCAAGGCGAUGAUCUUUAGGGGGCCUGAGAGGGUGAUCCCCCACACUGGUACUGAGACACGGACCAGACUCCUACGGGAGGCAGC